AGAAUCAACGCUGGCGGCGUGCCUAACACAUGCAAGUCGAACGAGAAAAUGGUAGCAAUACCAUGAGUAAAGUGGCGCACGGGUGAGUAACACGUGACUAACCUACCCUUGAGUGGGGGAUAACUGAGGGAACCUUAGCUAAUACCGCAUAAUACCCACGGGUCAAAGGAGCAAUUCGCUCGAGGAGGGGGUCGCGGCCGAUUAGUUAGUUGGCGGGGUAAUGGCCCACCAAGACGAUGAUCGGUA
Molecule: ribosomal RNA, 246 nt
Filed under: uncultured bacterium
Lineage: Bacteria
Description: partial small subunit ribosomal RNA
Rfam family: Bacterial small subunit ribosomal RNA
Source: RNAcentral